This 1521-nucleotide ribosomal RNA is filed under the name uncultured Planctomycetales bacterium. RNAcentral describes it as "16S ribosomal RNA". It matches the Rfam family "Bacterial small subunit ribosomal RNA". Lineage: Bacteria; Pseudomonadati; Planctomycetota; Planctomycetia; Planctomycetales. The record is from RNAcentral.
CAUGCAAGUCGAACGAGGAUAUACCUUUCGGGGUAUAAACCGAGUGGCGCAAGGGUGAGUAAUGCAUAGAUUACCUGCCUCUAGGAUAAGGACAACUUUGUGAAAACGAAGCUAAUACUUAAUAAUACAAGAGAGAAUAAUUCUUUUUUGUCAAUGGGAGGGUAGCAAUACCUUUUGCCUAGAGAGGGGUUUAUGUCCUAUCAGCUUGUUGGUGGGGUAAUGGCCUACCAAGGCGAAGACGGGUAGCCGGUCUUAGAGGAUGGUCGGCCACACUGGGACUGAGACACUGCCCAGACUUCUACGGAAGGCUGCAGUCGAGAAUCUUUCGCAAUGCCCGAAAGGGUGACGAAGCGACGCCGCGUGAGUGAGGAAGGCCUUCGGGUUGUAAAGCUCUGUCAGGUGUUAAGAAAUAUAAGUGUGCUAAUACCACAUUUAUUUGACAAAGGCGCCAAAGGAAGCCACGGCUAACUCUGUGCCAGCAGCCGCGGUAAUACAGAGGUGGCAAGCGUUGUUCGGAAUUAUUGGGCGUAAAGAGCACGUAGGUGGGUUCGUAAGUCAGAUGUGAAAGCCUUCUGUUCAACGGAAGAAUUGCAUCUGAAACUGCGAGUCUUGAGUGUAGGAGGGGAGAAUGGAACUUCUGGUGGAGCGGUGAAAUGCGUAGAUAUCAGAAGGAACGCCGGCGGCGAAAGCGAUUCUCUGGCCUAUUACUGACACUCAGUGUGCGAAAGCUAGGGGAGCAAACGGGAUUAGAUACCCCGGUAGUCCUAGCUGUAAACGAUGGGCACUAAGUAGAGGGAAUUACCGAUGUUCUCUCUGCCGUAGCUAACGCAUUAAGUGCCCCGCCUGGGGAGUACGGCCGCAAGGCUAAAACUCAAAAGAAUUGACGGGGGCUCGCACAAGCGGUGGAGCAUGUGGCUUAAUUCGAUGCAACGCGAAAAACCUUACCGGGGCUUGACAUGGUAGAAGUAGGAACCCGAAAGGGUAACGAACGGUAUCCAGUCCGUAGCUAUCACAGGUGUUGCAUGGCUGUCGUCAGCUCGUGUCGUGAGACGUUGGGUUAAGUCCCCUAACGAGCGAAACCCUUGUUUUUAGUUACCAGCGGGUUAUGCCGGGUACUCUAGAAAGACCGCCGUCGUCAAGACGGAGGAAGGUGGGGAUGACGUCAAGUCAUCAUGGCCCUUAUGCCCCGGGCUGCACACGUGCUACAAUGGUCGGUACAAACGGAAGCGAAGCCGAGAGGUGGAGCGAAUCCUAAAAAGCCGAUCUCAGUUCGGAUUGGAGGCUGAAAUUCGCCUCCAUGAAGUUGGAAUCGCUAGUAAUCGCGGAUCAGCAUUGCCGCGGUGAAUAUGUUCCCGAGCCUUGUACACACCGCCCGUCAAGCCACCCAAGCAGGAUGCACCCGAAAACAUUAUAUCUAACCAGGUUUACCUGGAGGAAAGUGUUGAAGGAGUGUUUUGUGAGGAGGACUAAGUCGUAACAAGGUAGUCGUAGGAGAACCUGCGGCUGGAUCACCUCCUUUCU